UGGCCCCCGCCGGGCCCGCCGCCUCCUGCAGCUUCUGUUCCAGCACCUCGUCCUCCUCCAGGAGGUCCCUGAUGUCCUUCAGGGAGGCCUCCACGUCCGUGAACACCCCCGACAGCACUGCAGGCGGACACAGAGGAGGGGGGGACAGCAGCAGGUGGCCUCCACCUGCUCCAUACUCACCCUGCAUGGACUGGACGAGGUUCCUAACGGUGUCGGGACGGACGCUGAGAGCCGCGCACUUCUCCAUGAGCUGGGGUGGGAUGUGGUUGUAGGCGUCGAGGUUGUCCACUGUCUCAGGAUCCAGCUGCAGUGAAUCCAUGAACUGGCUGUGGGGCAACAGGACCAGGUGGCCCAGAGGAGACAGGAGGCCGAGCGGCCGCCACAUUCCAGCCAGCCAACAGCUAAAGGUUAGUGUCCGCUUGCAGCUCUGCCCACAGCCCACACCUCCAGGGGACCACCCCCCCACCAGCGGUCUAAUGGGGCUGGAACAGUCUGAGUGCCCUCCUGGCCCCGGCUCGCUCACCUGCUCCCCAAACUUCUGCUGCUCCUCCGCCUGCUUCCCCAUGUGCAGCUGGACGGAAGAAACAGUCCUGCUUACUUAGGGGUGACACCUUAGCGCCGCGCCCCCCGCGCCCACAGCGCACUCACAUGAGCCACAGCCGCAAAGUAGUAGAUCUUCAUCUGGACCAGCUUCUUCCAGUCCUUCUGGAUCCGACCCAGCAGCGAGGCGGUGUCAGGGUUCUCCAGGGCGCGGCAGGCCUCUUUGUAGUAAUCCACCACCUGGGGGCCAGGACGGGCUCCGGUCGGGGGCUGGGGGAAGCCAGGGCUGGCCCCAGUCUCCAGGAGGCCCUCGCCCCCCAGCCUACCUGUGCACUGAU
Long non-coding RNA from Cervus elaphus (red deer), 878 nucleotides. RefSeq lists it as uncharacterized. Lineage: Eukaryota; Metazoa; Chordata; Mammalia; Artiodactyla; Cervidae. The transcript has 3 exons. The record is from RefSeq and is a predicted model, not a curated record.